Molecule: transfer RNA, 76 nt
Filed under: Thermotogota bacterium
Lineage: Bacteria; Thermotogati; Thermotogota
Also listed under: 2 other names
Description: Thermotogae bacterium tRNA-Arg
Rfam family: tRNA
About the family: Transfer RNA (tRNA) molecules are approximately 80 nucleotides in length. Their secondary structure includes four short double-helical elements and three loops (D, anti-codon, and T loops).
Source: RNAcentral
GCGCCAGUAGCUCAAUGGAUAGAGCGUCGGACUUCGGAUCCGAUGGUUGCGGGUUCAAGUCCUGCCUGGCGCGCCA